Long non-coding RNA from Gadus macrocephalus (Pacific cod), 825 nucleotides. RefSeq lists it as uncharacterized. The record is from RefSeq and is a predicted model, not a curated record. The transcript is spliced from 2 exons. Lineage: Eukaryota; Metazoa; Chordata; Actinopteri; Gadiformes; Gadidae.
CCACUCCUCUCCCUUCCCUAUUUCCCCUCCCCUCCUCCUUCCUCCUUUACUGUCUCUCUCCCCCCUCUUUCAACUCCCUCGCUCCCCUCUUUCUCCUCGUUCCUGCUCUCUCCUCUUACUCCAUUCACUAGCUCUCCGGCCCCUUGCCCUUGUAACCCCCCCAACCACCCCCCACCCGCCACACACACCCAGUCCCCCCUUUUGUCCCCUGCCGAUCGACCCCCUUCUGAGGAACCUACCCCUACAGCUCCUUUCCUACGGCCCUUCUCCAGCCCCCCUCUCCCUGAGUUGGACCCUGCUGAUCUUGGGACAUCCCCAGUAUGUCUUGGCCUUUGAAGGAAAAUAUAAUUGAGUGGGAAAGAACAAAAAGAACGCUAACAGAGUCUCGGUCCAACUCGCUCUCAGAUGACAACUUACCGGACCGAAAAAGAAGGAAGGGAAGAAUGAAAGGAAGAAAUGAGGAGAAAUGGAAAGAAGAGUGUUGACCGAGCUCGCUCUCGGAUGUCAACAACUGGGCCGAAAGGAAGGAGAGAAGAUAAAGAAAGACAGAAAGACAAACAAGUCUACGACUUUGAGAGCUUCGACCGAACCCGAUCACGGAACCGAUAACUCGGUAAUAGAAUCCAUACCAAACCAAUGGAAAGAAAACAAGGCCAACGUAUAAUGAAAUGGAUGUUUCUUUAUUUACAGUUACAGGGCAGAGGGGGUUCGUCAAUAUCCUUUAUAACCAUUUUCAUCAAAUGCCCUCUCUCUCUCUCUCUCUCUCUCUCUCUCUCUCUCUCUCUCUCUCUCUCUCUCUCUCUCUCUCUCUCUCUCUCUCUCUCU